AUGAACGCUGGCGGCGUGCCUAAUCCCUGCAAGUCGCGCGAACGGACGAGAAGCUUGCUUCUCUGAUGUUAGCGGCGGACGGGUGAGUAACACGUGGAUAACCUACCUAUAAGACUGGGAUAACUUCGGGAAACCGGAGCUAAUACCGGAUAAUAUUUUGAACCGCAUGGUUCAAAAGUGAAAGACGGUCUUGCUGUCACUUAUAGAUGGAUCCGCGCUGCAUUAGCUAGUUGGUAAGGUAACGGCUUACCAAGGCAACGAUGCAUAGCCGACCUGAGAGGGUGAUCGGCCACACUGGAACUGAGACACGGUCCAGACUCCUACGGGAGGCAGCAGUAGGGAAUCUUCCGCAAUGGGCGAAAGCCUGACGGAGCAACGCCGCGUGAGUGAUGAAGGUCUUCGGAUCGUAAAACUCUGUUAUUAGGGAAGAACAUAUGUGUAAGUAACUGUGCACAUCUUGACGGUACCUAAUCAGAAAGCCACGGCUAACUACGUG
RNAcentral lists this ribosomal RNA (496 nucleotides) under uncultured bacterium. Its description in RNAcentral is "partial 16S ribosomal RNA". It matches the Rfam family "Bacterial small subunit ribosomal RNA", at positions 29 to 507 of the family's 1533-position model. The record is from RNAcentral.